GUUGUUACGUACGGGCCUUGGGGUGGAAAUGGCGGGACUGCUCAUGACAUCAGGGCAGCAUCUUCCCUCCGUCUCAAAAGUGUGACAAUUCCUUAUGGCGAUAUCAUCGAUUCACUUACGUUUUCAUAUAGCGAUCACAGUGGGCAUGUACACAGGGUUGGCCCAUGGGGUGGUACUGGUGGUGCGAACAAAUAUACGAUCAAUCUUGAUCCAACAGAUUUUGUGAAAGAAAUUUCUGGCAAAUUUGGUCCAUAUCCCUUAUCACGCUCCAAUGUCAUAACAUCGCUCAAGCUGGUAACCCAUGAGGAUACAUAUGGCCCUUUUGGAUUUGUAGAAGGAACUCCUUUCUGCGCCACAUUGGAAAGCGGUUGGGCUAUAGUUGGCUUCUUUGCACGUGCGGAGAGGUAUGUUCAUAAAAUUGGUGUGUAUGCCAGACCUUUGACGCUUGAUGCACAAGAACCGGCAGUGAACUCCGAGCUGGAAAGAGGACAAGAGUAG
This 498-nucleotide ribosomal RNA is filed under the name Triticum aestivum (bread wheat). Its description in RNAcentral is "partial small subunit ribosomal RNA". The record is from RNAcentral. Lineage: Eukaryota; Viridiplantae; Streptophyta; Magnoliopsida; Poales; Poaceae.